This 112-nucleotide microRNA precursor is filed under the name Pelobates cultripes (western spadefoot toad). The record is from RNAcentral. Lineage: Eukaryota; Metazoa; Chordata; Amphibia; Anura; Pelobatidae.
CACACCCAACACACUGCGCCCUUCACACAUACAAUACAUCCAAACACAUACACUUAUAUAGGUAUGUGUUUGGACGUAUUGUAUGUGUGAAGGGCGCAGUGUGUUGGGUGUG